GAUGAACGCUAGCGGGAGGCCUAACACAUGCAAGCCGAGCGGUAGAGUUCCUUCGGGAACUUGAGAGCGGCGUACGGGUGCGUAACACGUGUGCAACCUACCUUUAUCUGGGGGAUAGCCUUUCGAAAGGAAGAUUAAUACCCCAUAAUAUAAUGAUUGGCAUCAAUUAUUAUUGAAAACUCCGGUGGAUAGAGAUGGGCACGCGCAAGAUUAGAUAGUUGGUGAGGUAACGGCUCACCAAGUCAAUGAUCUUUAGGGGUCCUGAGAGGGAGAUCCCCCACACUGGUACUGAGACACGGACCAGACUCCUACGGGAGGCAGCAGUGAGGAAUAGUGGACAAUGGGUGAAAGCCUGAUCCAGCCAUCCCGCGUGAAGGAUGACGGUCCUAUGGAUUGUAAACUUCUUUUGUACAGGGAUAAACCUACUCUCGUGAGGGUAGCUGAAGGUACUGUACGAAUAAGCACCGGCUAACUCCGUG
Molecule: ribosomal RNA, 479 nt
Filed under: uncultured bacterium
Lineage: Bacteria
Description: partial 16S ribosomal RNA
Rfam family: Bacterial small subunit ribosomal RNA
Source: RNAcentral